RNAcentral lists this small RNA (286 nucleotides) under Corynebacterium phocae. RNAcentral's name for it is "5' ureB small RNA". It matches the Rfam family "5' ureB small RNA". Lineage: Bacteria; Bacillati; Actinomycetota; Actinomycetes; Mycobacteriales; Corynebacteriaceae. The record is from Rfam by way of RNAcentral.
UCCACCUGCCCCGGGGAGAUGAAGUGGAUGUGGGUGUCCACCGCCCCGGCGGUGACAAUCUUGCCCUCCCCGCCAAUGACCUCCGUGCCCACGCCCACCACAAUAUCCACGUCAUCCUGGAUAUCAGGGUUGCCCGCGUUGCCAAUCUUUAAGAUUUUGCCGUCCUUGACCGCGAUAUCCGCCUUGUAGAUCCCGGUGUAGUCAAUGAUGGUGGCGUUGGUAAUCAGCAGGUCCGGGAUGGUGUCAGCACCCGUGGUGCGACUGUUGUGCCCCAUGCCGUCACGGA